GGAGAGAAGAUCCAAUUGAGAGACAUGCAUGCAAAGACGGACUCCGAGGCCACUAGCAUUGACGCGGCUUUGUCAUGGCCGCCGCGCUCUCCGCCCCGUUCGGCGACUAGACCUCUUUACUAUGUACAGAGUCCCUCCAACCACGACGUGGAGAAGAUGUCAUUUGGGUCGGGUUGCAGCCCGAUGGGUUCUCCCUCACACCCACAUUACUACCACUGCUCACCCAUCCAUCACUCCCGUGAAUCCUCCACCUCUCGCUUCUCUGACCGAGCACUCCUCUCCUACCAGUCAAUCCGCGAAGGAAGCGGACGCCGUCGUUACAUCAACAGCGCCAUCGACGAAGAAACUGACGACGGAGAUGACGACCCCUUUCGAAAUGUGCGUCUCUACGGCUGCUUGCUCCUCUCCUUGUUCCUCUUGUUCUCAAUCUUCUCUCUCAUACUGUGGGGUGCUAGCAAAUCCUACCCUCCUAAAGUUGUGGUAAAGGUAACAAUAACUAUCGCUCUUUUCUUCACUCGGUGACUCGGGCUGAGUUAAGAGUAGAGUCGACUCGUCUAGUGGAUAGGUGUUCGGUUUCACUUUCUUCGGUUUCACUUUCCUUAAAAGAAACAAUCUGAAAAAGGCCAACAAUGAAAAAUAGUAUAAUACUAGUGUUAUGUCCCGUACUAGCGUACGGGCACAAAAAUUAAUAUUACUCAUAUCUUACGAAACUUGAGUUUAUGUAACUGAUGAGAUCCUCAACAAAAUUUCCUUCCUGAUAAACUGUGUUGGAUCUGAUCCAUUAAAAAUGAUUUGGAUUAUCUAGUCUAGUGUUGCGUCAGAAAAAUUCACUCGUACUUGUGUGGACAUAGUUUUGACUAUCUCAUACCAACUGCACCAGUUAGUCUAGUGUUGCGUCAGAAAAAUUCACUCGCGCUAGUGUUAUAUUUUUUUUGCGUCAAUGGUUAAAACAAACAGAUUUAGUUCACAAUCUAUACCUCAUAUAUUGUAUUGCACAUAAUUCAUUUCAUUUGUUGCAGAGAAAUAUGAUGGAGCAAUAUAUGAAAAAGUAGCAAUAGCAGAAAAUAGAGAAAACGAAAAAUUAAAGAAAAAACAGUUAUAGAAGAUGAAACAGUUUAAAGUCAUGUUAUGAUUUGAGAGAGUGACGAUUUGAUAGUGAUUUUUUGUAACUUUUUCAUCUUCUAUAACUGAGUUUUUUUUCUUUAUUUCUCUCUCUAUCGUUUCUUAUUCUUGAUAAUGUUUCCCAGCUUUUCAAUAUUCAACAAAAAUCAGUAUAGGUUUUUGAGUACUCUAUUCAUAUUCCUUUUGUUUGGUUUAUCCCUAGAUUUAGAGAUUAAGAAUCUAAAAUAUGUUUUUGCCAAAGCCAAUUUCUUCUCUUAUGUUUUUGCCAUAUAAUUUUAAUUAAAUAUAAUGUAGAUCAAAAUUUAUGGAAGAAAAAAGCUUUUUGAAGUGGUGAAAACUAAUUUGAACGUGGGAUGAGAUUAGAUGAGAUCUUUGAGAAAAUAUAGGACUUUAGAUAUUUGAAGUUGCAAAAAAUGAAACUGACGUUAAGAUUUUUUUCAUUUUUCUUUUUGGUAAAACAUUAUCCAUGUGUCAGAAUUUUAGUGGGCAAGUAUUUUAGUGGGUAAGUGACUUGUGCUUUAGUAUAUAAAAGAUUCUUUUUUAAAAAUAAAUAAGUAAAAUAGAUUAACAAGUAAACAAAGUGUGGAAUGAGAGACAAGUGUGCAUUUGAUUUGGGAGUUAGAAUGUGAGCAAGUGUUAGACUGAAUAUAAAUACUUGCAGGGGAUGCUGGUGAGGAACUUUAACGUGCAGGCUGGUAACGAUCUUAGCGGUGUGCCCACUGACAUGCUGUCUCUUAAUUCGACUGUCAGGAUCUUCUACCGGAACCCCUCCACCUUCUUCGCCGUCCAUGUCACUGCUCUCCCUCUCCUCCUCCGCUACUCCAACCUCCUCCUUUCCUCCGGUGAGAUGGAGAAGUUCACGGUGGGUAGGAAAAGCGGAAGGAAUAUAGCCACGGUGGUGCAUGGCCAUCAGAUUCCCCUAUACGGCAGUGUCUCUCCCCAUCUCGACAAACUGUCCCUGCCCCUCAAUCUCACUCUCGUCCUCCGUUCCAGGGCUUACAUUUUAGGCAGACUCGUCACCUCCAAUUUCCAUACAAGGAUCAUUUGCUCUUUCACUCUUAAUGCCAACCGCCUUACCAAACCCAUGUCUCUUAUCCACUCAUGUACUCAUCACCACUGACACCACCUUGCACACUUUCUGUGUACUUUGGAUAUAUAUUUUUAUCUUUUGCAAUCAAUCAACAAAUUCUUCCAGGAAUAUUGCUACGACCAAAAAAAAUAUAUGCCAAGAUAAGUUUACAGUUUCCACCGAGUUUAUUAAUAUUCAAGAGUGAAGAACAAUGUGCCAAGAUUCUACAAAAAGAAAAAGAAUUCAAAGCCUAACAUAAUCGGUAAAUAUAUGUACAAAUAUACUAUGAGUAGCCUUGGAAGUUGGAAUGAAGAGAACCUCCUGCAAUCAUCACUAGAGUAGUUUCUGUAUAACAAUAUCUUUUCAGCUAUAAAGUGAUCCAUACUUUGUAUUGUGUUUACAUCCAUUAUUCUACGAAUGGAACGUUAAAUUUUGAACUUUAUGAAACGUAUUGUUGUGUGAUACUAUUAUCUUUCACAUAAAGAAAUUUUAAUUCAUUUGAUUUCUUUCAUUGAUAUCCCUAUCUAUAAUAGUCUUUCAACAUAGAAUCCAAAUCUAUGUUUUUUUUUUGAUCAAAAAAUCCAAAUCUAUGUUUAGACUACACAAUUACAUUCAAAGAAUUUGAUAGAAUUCAUCACAUAUGUUACUGUAAACGAAGGAAAAAGAGAGUGGAGGCAGAGGAAAGUCAAAAGGAAACAGAGGAAAAGAAGAUUGAUAUGAUCUGUAAGCUGAGCUGGUCGAUUGAUAGGAAGGAUCAAAGACUCCUGGAUAAGCCACAAGUAGCAUAAAUAAGAAAAAGUGUACUUGAUUUACUGUUUCCCUAUGCGUUUUACAUUUAUGUAUUUGUUUGUUUGUAAACAAGCAACACUUAUCUAUUUGUAUUAAGCUUUCUAUCACUAGUAAAGGAGCUCCCAAUUCCAUAUUCUAUUGUCAGAGUUGCUCUGAAGGAUGUGAAAGUGCCGGUUUUCACUUUCUUGUUUGAUUAAUCCAAGACUUGCUACUGUCUUCAGUUAUUGUAAAAUUUAGAUUCAUGGUUUCAUAUAUUUGCAGAACUUGUGGAGUUGGGCUGGGCUGGGCUGGGCUGGUGUUUCCACGUCAACCUUUGGUACACCACAUCACAAACAAAACUCUUCCAUAUUCAAUAGUAGGAGAGUUUCUCACUGUGUAGAAUGGUGUUACUUGUCUCUAGCAUCUGGACCAUUUAGAAUGGUGUCACCAUAUUUUGUAUGUAUGAACGGAUAUCCUGUUCCUUUUUUUUUGAAACGGAUAUCCUGUUCAAUUCAUAGAUCUUUUUAUAUUCCAUUAUCUUUUAUAUUCCACUCGUAAUGUGAAAUAUUUCACUAAAAUGUUCAUUUUUCCAAAAUAUCAUGUUUGAGCAGUUUGGGGUGGUUACAUGCACUUCACCGGCUUUCGUUUCGAGUUUGGGGCCUCCUUUCUGACUCAGUUAGUGGACUAUUUUCCAAGUGGAGUUAUUUGGAAGAUUGAUAUGGAGAGAGUGGCCCUGGUGGUUCAUGCGUCCUUGAUGCUCACAUCACCCAUUCCCAAGGUAUUUUUCCUUGGUCUUCAUAUUGGACUUUAGAUCCAAGCGCUUUCAGUAAAAGAACAGAGCAUAAACAAUAUAUUUGGUUGUACUUGGACCUGGCAAACACAGUUUUAUUUCAGAGACUGAGACCUAAUCGACUAGCUCGUACCUAUUAUACAAGUAUGCUAUAAACAUGGUCUAGGCGGCACAAGUGGCGCAGGUGCAACCUUCCCCACAGGUGCAAAAGGCCUUGCCGACCUUAGCGGAGGUCUGGGUCUUGGCGCAGGUGCAAGGGUUGCAGCCGCAGUGCUCCCCGCACGGGCACAUGUUGUGUUCUUGAUCCCCACCAGAUGCUGCGCUCAUCCUGCACCUACAUGGACUCCAACGUUCUUUUUUAAGUUGAACAAAAUACAUCAAUUCUUGAGAGCAUAUAGAAGAGUAGAAACCUGCAGGAUUCUCCACCUGGACAGGGAGAUGGGCAGCCACAGCGACUGUUGCCCGUGUUGUGGGUUUAGUUAUGCGUGGAAGCGCGUGGAGAGGAACGUCACUAAAUUGGACCAACUUGCUUGAAAAGAAGUUAUGAAAGACCCCAUACGGCUUUCGCUUUUAUUGCACAACCUCCGAAACCAUUUCGCGUUUAACGUCUAGAGACGGGAGUUGAUAAAAAAAAAAAGACAUAGAGACGGGACAAAAGAAAGAGCCAGACACGACACUAGCGUCUCUGUUUUAUUGCUGCUUACCUCUAUUAUUCUGUCACAAAGGAAAAACCAAGGAGAGAAGAUCCAAUUGAGAGACAUGCAUGCAAAGACGGACUCCGAGGCCACUAGCAUUGACGCGGCUUUGUCAUGGCCGCCGCGCUCUCCGCCCCGUUCGGCGACUAGACCUCUUUACUAUGUACAGAGUCCCUCCAACCACGACGUGGAGAAGAUGUCAUUUGGGUCCGGUUGCAGCCCGAUGGGUUCUCCCUCACACCCACAUUACUACCACUGCUCACCCAUCCAUCACUCCCGUGAAUCCUCCACCUCUCGCUUCUCUGACCGAGCACUCCUCUCCUACCAGUCAAUCCGCGAAGGAAGCGGACGCCGUCGUUACAUCAACAGCGCCAUCGACGAAGAAACUGACGACGGAGAUGACGACCCCUUUCGAAAUGUGCGUCUCU
RNAcentral lists this long non-coding RNA (4872 nucleotides) under Brassica napus (rape). RNAcentral describes it as "long non-coding RNA (BNAP_LNC013182)". Lineage: Eukaryota; Viridiplantae; Streptophyta; Magnoliopsida; Brassicales; Brassicaceae. The record is from RNAcentral.